GCACAGAGUUAGCCGGUGCUUAUUCUGUCGGUAACGUCAAAAUUGCAGAUUAUUAAUCUACAGCCCUUCCUCCCAACUUAAAGUGCUUUACAAUCCGAAGACCUUCUUCACACACGCGGCAUGGCUGGAUCAGGCUUUCGCCCAUUGUCCAAUAUUCCCCA
RNAcentral lists this ribosomal RNA (161 nucleotides) under uncultured bacterium. RNAcentral describes it as "partial 16S ribosomal RNA". The record is from RNAcentral.